This 1998-nucleotide long non-coding RNA is filed under the name Homo sapiens (human). RNAcentral describes it as "non-protein coding LINC00698:14". The record is from RNAcentral. Lineage: Eukaryota; Metazoa; Chordata; Mammalia; Primates; Hominidae.
GUCUUUGCCUGCUGCCAUCCACGUGAUAUGUGACUUGCUGCUCCUUGCCUUCUGCCAUAAUUGUGAGGCCUCCUCAGCCACACGGAAAUGCUUAUAGGCAUAAGAGACUUGCCUUGUCUCAGAUGAAACUUUGGACUGUGGACUUUUGAGUUAAUGCUGAUAUUAGGUCCUGCACAGUUCAAUAUUAAAUGGAGUUUCUACCCUAGCAUGAAAGGAGGAAGAGAGAAAAUCGGAUCCAAGAGAAAUUCGGCUCCAACAUUCCCCAAAUAUUAGAGUGGUUAUGUUGAAGAUGUAAAUAUUCUCCCUGCUGUGAGUAUUACUGCAGCUGCCCAAAGAUGCUUUAUUUUAAAGAUGUGGAUACAGGAAGAUAAAAGCAUCAGAAACACUGCAUGGGAAAAUCAUUCAGACUGCAGCUUCCUGGUUUUAGACAUCCCCACUGGCAAUUGGGACAUCUAUUUUGGAGAUGUAAUUGAAAAGACUGAAGAAUGUACUGAGGACCUUCUGGCUGAUAGAAGCUGACAAAGAAGCCAAGAUUGGUGAAGAUUUCUGCAAUACCUGAGUUUCUAAUCACAACAACAAAAAUGACCUGGAUAGAAAACCUUGGAGAUAGUAAUUGAUGGGCAUCACGUAGCUGGUUGCUGGAGAAACACUGAAGCAGAACUUGUAAUAUCUUCAAAACAAGUGAAGGCCAGGAAUCAGAAAUGCUUCUGAAGGUCAGCUGCCUCUCCAGCCAUCUAUGAAGAGCUAUGGUUCUGAAUCCUGGCUAAUAUCAGAAUCAUCCUGGGAGCUUUUGAAAAUCCUGAUGCUCAAGUCACACUCCAUACUCAGACAAGAAGCUGAGUCUCAGAGAGAGAAAAUGACUCAUCCAAGCAAGGUUUGAGACCUAAGAAAGGUUGUGUAAGCAGAAGCUGGAAGACCCUUGAAAAGAGCAUUCAUUCAAGAAAUGAAGCAUGAGAUAGGAUGGAAGGAGGGAAGAAAGACAAGCAUAUGGCAUAUCAGGUCUCUUCCAGUGCUAAAGGCUGCCUAUGAUACUCAUCUGACCUGAUUUCUCCUGCACAGUGUUGCAACUGACGAGUAGCAGACUUGCCCUUGCCUGCAUUUGGGGGGAUGGCUGAGACUUUCCUUACAGAAAGCCCUACUUUCAGCAUGAACACUAACCCAGUUUAUUGGCUCAGGGUGUAGAGAGUUGCCUUGUCACUGGCGAAGUCAGAUGCAGCCAGUACCAGAGCUCUGCACUAGCUGUGAACACUAAGGAAGAAUAGCUGAGUGAGGAAGCAGAGUGCCAGGCAGCACAUCCUUCUUCAGGUGUUUCCUGCCCUGGGCCAGAUCCCAGGCACUGCAGCAAUAUCUCUGCAUGAUCUAGGGCUCCUGGAAAUAGCCCAUUAAGGGCAAAACUCGCUGCCCAGAAAACAUUAGAACAUUAAAAGAGCAGGGUCUCAUCUGAUUGUCUUGGUUUCCUGAGGCUCAUUCAGUCUGUGUCCACUGGUUUCAGUCUGAGUUCUCUGCACUUUGAGGAUGCAGACAGUGAAGUUCUCCCAUGGUUAUAGGGGGAGAGAUCAUAGGAAUGCUAUGGAAAGAGGCCUGAAGUCAGAGCCAGCUAGUGGUUAUUAUUUAUUAAUUGCCUGUGAGGUGCCAGGCGCACAUAUUAGACCAUAUGUGAUUGCAGUGAGCCACCCGGAUCCCCUUCAAGCUGCUGCUGCAGCUGAUGGAAGUCCUAUUGGCAGACAGCCUUCUCUCAUCAGCCCCUUCAGGACUUGCCUCAGUUGCAGAGAGCUGCCUUCCCCAAGAUCACACCCUUCCCUGGGGACUCACAACCAAUGGCUGAUCCAGAAGAAUCCAUAAAGCCCGUAUCAUUUCAGCCCAAUUUAGGACAGCUUUGUUGAGCCAUUAGACCUACAUGCAGCCCAACCUCUCCUUCUACCCACUUCUUCUUUCUUCCCUUUCCUUCCACGGUGUCUGUUCCAAGCACUUGCCUUAAUAAACAUGUAACAGGUUAAA